RNAcentral lists this small RNA (335 nucleotides) under Histoplasma ohiense. RNAcentral describes it as "hypothetical lncRNA". The record is from RNAcentral. Lineage: Eukaryota; Fungi; Ascomycota; Eurotiomycetes; Onygenales; Ajellomycetaceae.
GUGUUCCUACCGCUGGCGACUCCGUGGAAUUGGAUUCAGCUAGAUACCAGAAGAUAAUCCGGUGCGGGCCCCAGCUCCUGUGUUGCUGGACGGCUAGUGGCUCCUUGUGGGCUUGCGAGACGUCGUAAUCUGGAGCAAGUGUCACAAGGUUGUGGGGUAAGAUGCGACAUUUGUAACCAGAUUCCUCGAACGUCUCACGGACCGCAGCAUCUUCUAGACUCUCGCCAACAUUUUUGCGGCCCUUGGGGAGAUGGUAUUGACGCCUUAUGCGACAAUAGAGGAGGAGGACAAGAUCCUUCGUGAGAUCGAUGCACACUGUUCCACAUCCGAUGACG